This 482-nucleotide ribosomal RNA is filed under the name uncultured bacterium. RNAcentral describes it as "partial 16S ribosomal RNA". It matches the Rfam family "Bacterial small subunit ribosomal RNA", at positions 30 to 507 of the family's 1533-position model. The record is from RNAcentral.
AUUGAACGCUGGCGGCAUGCUUUACACAUGCAAGUCGAACGGUAACAGGCCGCAAUGUGCUGUCGAGUGGUGGACGGGUGAGUAAUGCAUCGGCACGUGCCCCGUCGUGGUGGAUAACUACUCGCAAGAGUAGCUAAUACCGCAUACGAUAUAUGGAUGAAAGCGGGGGACCGUAAGGCCUCGCGCGAUUGGUGCGGUCGAUGUCAGAUUAGGUAGUUGGUGGGGUAAAGGCUCACCAAGCCAACGAUCUGUAGCUGGUCUGAGAGGACGACCAGCCACACUGGGACUGAGACACGGCCCAGACUCCUACGGGAGGCAGCAGUGGGGAAUUUUGGACAAUGGGCGCAAGCCUGAUCCAGCAAUGCCGCGUGCAUGAAGAAGGCCUUCGGGUUGUAAACUGCUUUUGUACGGAACGAAACGGCGCUGGUUAAUACCCGGGGCUAAUGACGGUACCGUAAGAAUAAGCACCGGCUAACUACGUG